AACGAACGCUGGCGGCAUGCCUAACACAUGCAAGUCGAACGAAACCUUCGGGUCUAGUGGCGCACGGGUGCGUAACGCGUGGGAACCUGCCCUUAGGUUCGGAAUAACUCCCCGAAAGGGGUGCUAAUACCGGAUAAUCUCCUCGGACCAAAGAUUUAUCGCCUUUGGAUGGGCCCGCGUUGGAUUAGCUAGUUGGUAGGGUAAAAGCCUACCAAGGCGACGAUCCAUAGCUGGUCUGAGAGGAUGAUCAGCCACACUGGGACUGAGACACGGCCCAGACUGCUACGGGAGGCAGCAGUGGGGAAUAUUGGACAAUGGGCGAUAGCCUGAUCCAGCAAUGCCGCGUAAGUGAUGAAGGCCGUAGGGUUGUAAAGCUCUUUUACCCGGGAUGAUAAUGACAGUAACGGGAGAAUAAGCUCCGGCUAACUCCGUG
Molecule: ribosomal RNA, 433 nt
Filed under: uncultured bacterium
Lineage: Bacteria
Description: partial 16S ribosomal RNA
Rfam family: Bacterial small subunit ribosomal RNA
Source: RNAcentral